RNAcentral lists this ribosomal RNA (274 nucleotides) under uncultured bacterium. RNAcentral's name for it is "partial 16S ribosomal RNA". It matches the Rfam family "Bacterial small subunit ribosomal RNA", at positions 523 to 796 of the family's 1533-position model. The record is from RNAcentral.
AUACGGAUGCUGCGAGCGUUGUUCGGAAUCACUGGGCGUAAAGGGCGCGUAGGCGGUAAUGUAAGUCAGAUGUGAAAGUCCAGGGCUCAACCCUGGAAGUGCAUCUGAAACUGCAUAACUAGAGUAUUGGAGAGGAAAGUGGAAUUCCUGGUGUAGAGGUGAAAUUCGUAGAUAUCAGGAGGAAUACCGGAGGCGAAGGCGACUUUCUGGACAAAUACUGACGCUGAGGCGCGAAAGCGUGGGGAGCAAACAGGAUUAGAAACCCUAGUAGUCC